AAUACUUUGUCCCAUCCUCCCCACGUUAAAAUUAUUUCGUAAACAAUACUAGGUCUUGCGGCAACCGCUACAGCUGACGCACGGCUCUUCUCUCAGUUCUGCGCUUCACCCUCGCAAACAGGACUCGGCAGUCCGAGCACGAACCCCGCGGCAGAAGCAUUGUCUAAGGGGCAACUGCAUCCUCAGAAACUCCUCAGGGAUGAAGUAGUAGAUGUUCCUCCGUCCGUCAGCAGAUAGGCGGGCAGGGCUUUGGGCUACCCUGGAGGAUACAGGAGCACCGGUCUUCUGAGAGUUCACAAUCACUAGGGGCGGGGCAGGGAGGCAAGCAAAAAUAUCUACAGCUGGGAGCGGCAAGUGACACCUGUGGGUAUUACAGUUGACUGUGCUUCUCUCUUCUCUUGGCUGGUAGGAAGAUCAAAAAGCAGAGAUCAGUUUUUCCCCAAACCCCUACAACACAAUAUCUGAUGCAUGUUUUUUUGUACCAUUCAUAACUCUGAUUUUAUUUUCCCUGUAUUUUUUGUUUGAUUUUUUAAUGUUUUUAUUUUGCC
This is a long non-coding RNA of Microcebus murinus (gray mouse lemur), 548 nucleotides long. RefSeq lists it as uncharacterized. The record is from RefSeq and is a predicted model, not a curated record. NCBI's taxonomy places the organism in Eukaryota, Metazoa, Chordata, Mammalia, Primates, Cheirogaleidae.